RNAcentral lists this long non-coding RNA (663 nucleotides) under Phoenix dactylifera (date palm). Its description in RNAcentral is "long non-coding RNA (PDAC_LNC019796)". Lineage: Eukaryota; Viridiplantae; Streptophyta; Magnoliopsida; Arecales; Arecaceae. The record is from RNAcentral.
AGAUUGCCUCCGGGUCCAAUUUCCAGCAACAGAUAUGAUAGCAAUUCAAAGAGAGCAAAGAAAAUACACCACACCAGCUGAGUGGCGUUUUAACGAUAUCCUUGAGUUACUUAAUGACGUCAUGGGGCAGAUCUCUAAUCUAGUACUCAAGGGAAAAAAAAAAAGGCAUACCUGCAAUCUAACUCAAAUGAUUUUGUUCGAUAUACUGGGACUAUUGAAAAUCCAGACAUCGAAGGCUGACCUCAAGAAUGCAUUUGUCGGGAACCACCGUGAAAGUUUGUGUGCAGGCGCAAGUCUCACCUGCUUCUAAGGUGAUGACCCGGCAAGGUACAAUUGUGUGAUAGUGUGAUGGAUCCAGAAAUUUCUACGCACGCUUACGGAAUAUAGAACUAUUUUCUUUGGAACACAAAUUAUUUUCUAGCUAAAAUGCCACACUGAGUACCGUUGCCAUUACAAACCGACUGAUGAAUGUAGUUUGCACAAUUUGAGAAGGUGGCAAACAAAACAAGACUCGCUCCUCAGAACUCGACGCAUUUAUUCUGUCCCAGUUGUCUUCCUCCUCCCAAUCAACUCCUGGAUAAGCUCCCCAGCGUCGGCAUAAGAUGAUCCACCCUCCUCCACUGCCCUCCUUCCCAUCUCCGCGAGCUCCCUCGCUCUCCUCCU